RNAcentral lists this ribosomal RNA (442 nucleotides) under uncultured soil bacterium. RNAcentral's name for it is "bacterial SSU rRNA". It matches the Rfam family "Bacterial small subunit ribosomal RNA", at positions 61 to 496 of the family's 1533-position model. The record is from RNAcentral.
GUCGAGCGGCAGCACGGGUACUUGUACCUGGUGGCGAGCGGCGGACGGGUGAGUAAUGCCUAGGAAUCUGCCUGGUAGUGGGGGAUAACGUUCGGAAACGGACGCUAAUACCGCAUACGUCCUACGGGAGAAAGUGGGGGAUCUUCGGACCUCACGCUAUCAGAUGAGCCUAGGUCGGAUUAGCUAGUUGGUGAGGUAAUGGCUCACCAAGGCGACGAUCCGUAACUGGUCUGAGAGGAUGAUCAGUCACACUGGAACUGAGACACGGUCCAGACUCCUACGGGAGGCAGCAGUGGGGAAUAUUGGACAAUGGGCGAAAGCCUGAUCCAGCCAUGCCGCGUGUGUGAAGAAGGUCUUCGGAUUGUAAAGCACUUUAAGUUGGGAGGAAGGGCAUUAACCUAAUACGUUGGUGUUUUGACGUUACCGACAGAAUAAGCACCGG